This 288-nucleotide unclassified non-coding RNA is filed under the name Hevea brasiliensis (rubber tree). The record is from RNAcentral. Lineage: Eukaryota; Viridiplantae; Streptophyta; Magnoliopsida; Malpighiales; Euphorbiaceae.
CGCUGCCAUCCCGGAAACCACCGCUAAAAAAGCCUUGAUCUUGGGCGGUUGCCUUCGGACCCAUGUGGCCACUGCGUUGAUCGGCCUCUUUGUCGCCUUCAUCUUAUGUCCCCUUAUCUCUAUCAAAUAAAGCAGUCACUUGCAGAAUCCAGUGAUGGAAAUAGUGAGGCAAGUUGGAGUCAGAGAAGCAAAGCACCUUGAAUCUUGAUGAUCUCGUCUUAGAUCCGCUAAGCAGGAGGUACACAGGAGAAAGAUGGGAACUUGAAGAUUAAAGGACUAGGCUUUAUG